RNAcentral lists this ribosomal RNA (495 nucleotides) under uncultured bacterium. RNAcentral's name for it is "partial 16S ribosomal RNA". It matches the Rfam family "Bacterial small subunit ribosomal RNA", at positions 28 to 507 of the family's 1533-position model. The record is from RNAcentral.
GACGAACGCUGGCGGCGUGCCUAAUACAUGCAAGUAGAACGCUGAAGGAGGAGCUUGCUCUUCUGGAUGAGUUGCGAACGGGUGAGUAACGCGUAGGUAACCUGCCUGGUAGCGGGGGAUAACUAUUGGAAACGAUAGCUAAUACCGCAUAACAGUAGAUGUUGCAUGACAUUUACUUAAAAGGUGCAAUUGCAUCACUACCAGAUGGACCUGCGUUGUAUUAGCUAGUUGGUGGGGUAACGGCUCACCAAGGCGACGAUACAUAGCCGACCGGAGAGGGUGAUCGGACGCACUGGGGCUGAGACAGGGCCGAGACUCCUACGGGAGGCAGAAGUAGGGAAGCUUGGGCAAUGGAAGGAAGUGUGACCGAGCAACGCCGCGUGAGUGAAGAAGGUUUUCGGAUCGUAAAGCUCUGUUGUAAGGGAAGAACGAGUGUGAGAGUGGAAAGUUCACACUGUGAGGGUAUCUUACCAGAGAGGGACGGCUAACUACGUG